RNAcentral lists this transfer RNA (69 nucleotides) under Marmota monax (woodchuck). RNAcentral describes it as "tRNA.Cys". Lineage: Eukaryota; Metazoa; Chordata; Mammalia; Rodentia; Sciuridae. The record is from RNAcentral.
GGGGUUGUGGCUCAGUGGUGGAGCACUCUCCUGCAAUGUGUGAGGCACUGGGUUUGAUCCUCGACACCA